GACGAACGCUGGCGGCGUGCCUAAUACAUGCAAGUAGAACGCUGAAGGAGGAGCUUGCUUCUCCGGAUGAGUUGCGAACGGGUGAGUAACGCGUAGGUAACCUGCCUGGUAGCGGGGGAUAACUAUUGGAAACGAUAGCUAAUACCACAUAACAGUAGAUGUUGCAUGACAUUUGCUUAAAAGGUGCAAUUGCAUCACUACCAGAUGGACCUGCGUUGUAUUAGCUAGUUGGUGAGGUAACGGCUCACCAAGGCGACGAUACAUAGCCGACCUGAGAGGGUGAUCGGCCACACUGGGACUGAGACACGGCCCAGACUCCUACGGGAGGCAGCAGUAGGGAAUCUUCGGCAAUGGACGGAAGUCUGACCGAGCAACGCCGCGUGAGUGAAGAAGGUUUUCGGAUCGUAAAGCUCUGUUGUAAGAGAAGAACGAGUGUGAGAGUGGAAAGUUCACACUGUGACGGUAUCUUACCAGAAAGGGACGGCUAACUACGUG
Molecule: ribosomal RNA, 495 nt
Filed under: uncultured bacterium
Lineage: Bacteria
Description: partial 16S ribosomal RNA
Rfam family: Bacterial small subunit ribosomal RNA
Source: RNAcentral